This 88-nucleotide small nucleolar RNA is filed under the name Hucho hucho (huchen). Its description in RNAcentral is "Small nucleolar RNA SNORA56 (ENSHHUG00000022299.1)". The record is from RNAcentral. Lineage: Eukaryota; Metazoa; Chordata; Actinopteri; Salmoniformes; Salmonidae.
CAGCAGACAGUUAUCCCUUUCUGGUCUGCCCUGUGGUCUCUGAGGGAGUCAGUCUGCAACAUCAACUCUCGUAGCUCAGCAGAGAUCU